Long non-coding RNA from Mustela erminea (ermine), 909 nucleotides. RefSeq lists it as uncharacterized. NCBI's taxonomy places the organism in Eukaryota, Metazoa, Chordata, Mammalia, Carnivora, Mustelidae. The record is from RefSeq and is a predicted model, not a curated record. The transcript is spliced from 3 exons.
UUCAUGACGGAGGCGUUGCUGGCCACGUAGUCCAGGGCCAGCCAGAGGUCGCAGGCCAGGGUGCCCAGAGCCCAGUGGCCCAUGAGCAGGAGGAAGGUCUCUUAGGCUCCCCAUUUCCCCGAGGCAGCCGUGGCUCCAAGCGGCCACUAGAGCAGGCCACAGCGACAGAGGAGGUCCCUUCCUGUCCCGGGCCUCAGGCAUCCGUCUGUCCUUGGAAGACUGGGGUCUCUUCCCACCUGCCGCUAUGGUUUCAGGGGUUGUAUCAUUGGAAAAAUUCCAAGGGAGAGACAUCGGGCACCGGGCUCUGGUGUUCCUCGGGAACUGGUCUCUGACAGAGAGAUGAGGGCGCUGUGUACCUGUGAGGAGGUCAGGGCAUGACAGGCGGCUGUGACAGCCUGUGACCGAGGGUGUGUGGCUGAGGUCAUCUCCACCGGUCACGGGGUUGGGGCGUGAGAGGGACUCUCAGGAUGGCAGUCGGGAGUGUGACAGAAGGAGUGAGAAGGACCGUCGCUGUCAGCGUGUGCUUGUGCGUCUUGGGCCGUUUGCAUGUCAGGAGGACACAGCACGUCAUGGUGGAAGGGCCUGGACAGCCUGAGCCACACUGGCUCCACUGGGACCCAGGCUGUACCAUUUAUUUCCAGGGUAUGGGAUCGCUGCUGGCGGUGUCAUUGCUGGGUGCCUCAGUUUCCUCAGCUGGAAAACAGGAAUGACACUAGUCCCUGGCGAAUAAAUCAAGGAAUUGUGAGGCCGAAAUGGAUCUAUAGAUGAAGAGUGCCUGGGGCAGGCCUGGCACCACAGGCCUGAACUUGGUUCCCGUUGAUUCUUAGCAUGUGUGCCGGUGAGGGCUUCCUCCUACGAGGGUUUGCUCCUUUUUCUUUUCUUUUCUUUUCUUUUUUUUUUUUUAAAGAU